CAGCCGCCGCGGUAAUACGGAGGGUGCAAGCGUUAUCCGGAUUCACUGGGUUUAAAGGGUGCGUAGGCGGAUCUGUAAGUCAGUGGUGAAAUCUCCAGGCUUAACCUGGAAACUGCCGUUGAUACUAUAGGUCUUGAAUUUUGUGGAGGUUAGCGGAAUAUGUCAUGUAGCGGUGAAAUGCAUAGAUAUGACAUAGAACACCAAUUGCGAAGGCAACUGGCUACACAACUAUUGACGCUGAGGCACGAAAGCGUGGGGAUCAAACAGGAUUAGAUACCCGGGUAGUCCCUGUCUCUUAUAC
Molecule: ribosomal RNA, 301 nt
Filed under: uncultured bacterium
Lineage: Bacteria
Description: partial 16S ribosomal RNA
Rfam family: Bacterial small subunit ribosomal RNA
Source: RNAcentral